GCGCCCUUAGCUCAGUUGGUAGAGCAUCUGACUUUUAAUCAGGUGGUCGCUGGUUCGAGUCCAGCAGGGCGCACCA
Molecule: transfer RNA, 76 nt
Filed under: Allochromatium vinosum DSM 180
Lineage: Bacteria; Pseudomonadati; Pseudomonadota; Gammaproteobacteria; Chromatiales; Chromatiaceae
Description: tRNA-Lys (TTT) (tRNA-Lys-TTT-1-1)
Rfam family: tRNA
About the family: Transfer RNA (tRNA) molecules are approximately 80 nucleotides in length.
Source: RNAcentral